CUGUUGGGUAGGGGAGCGUUGUGUAAGCGGAAGAAGGUUCAUCGAGAGGUGGGCUGGACGUAUCACAAGUGCGAAUGCUGACAUAAGUAACGAUAAAACGGGUGAAAAACCCGUUCGCCGGAAGACCAAGGGUUCCUGUCCAACGUUAAUCGGGGCAGGGUGAGUCGGCUCCUAAGGCGAGGCUGAAAAGCGUAGUCGAUGGGAAACAGGUUAAUAUUCCUGUACUUGGUAAAGCUGCGAUGUGGGGACGGAGUAGGUUAGGUUAUCGCACUGUUGGAUAUGUGCGUUUAAGUUGGUAGGUGGGAAGUUUAGGCAAAUCCGGACUUCCUUAACACAGAGAGAUGAUGACGAGGCUCUACGGAGCUGAAGUAACUGAUACCACACUUCCAGGAAAAGCCACUAAGCGAAAGGCUUUACUAAACCGUACUGAAAACCGACACAGGUGGUCAGGUAGAGAAUACUCAGGCGCUUGAGAGAACUCGGGUGAAGGAACUAGGCAAAAUAGCACCGUAACUUCGGGAGAAGGUGCGCCGGCGUAGAUUGUAAGGGCUAGCCCCUGAAGGUUGAACCGGUCGAAGAUACCAGCUGGCUGCAACUGUUUAUUAAAAACACAGCACUCUGCAAACACGAAAGUGGACGUAUAGGGUGUGAUGCCUGCCCGGUGCUGGAAGGUUAAUUGAUGGUGUCAUCGAAAGAGAAGCACCUGAUCGAAGCCCCAGUAAACGGCGGCCGUAACUAUAACGGUCCUAAGGUAGCGAAAUUCCUUGUCGGGUAAGUUCCGACCUGCACGAAUGGCAUAAUGAUGGCCAGGCUGUCUCCACCCGAGACUCAGUGAAAUUGAAAUCGCCGUGAAGAUGCGGUGUACCCGCGGCUAGACGGAAAGACCCCGUGAACCUUUACUAUAGCUUGACACUGAACAUUGAAUUUUGAUGUGUAGGAUAGGUGGGAGACUUAGAAGUAGGAACGCCAGUUUCUAUGGAGUCAUCCUUGAAAUACCACCCUUUAACGUUUGAUGUUCUAACGAAGACUACGGAACGUGGUCUCGGACAGUGUCUGGUGGGUAGUUUGACUGGGGCGGUCUCCUCCCAAAGCGUAACGGAGGAGCACGAAGGUUUGCUAAUCACGGUCGGACAUCGUGAGGUUAGUGCAAUGGUAUAAGCAAGCUUAACUGCGAGACAGACAAGUCGAGCAGGUACGAAAGUAGGUCAUAGUGAUCCGGUGGUUCUGAAUGGAAGGGCCAUCGCUCAACGGAUAAAAGGUACUCCGGGGAUAACAGGCUGAUACCGCCCAAGAGUUCAUAUCGACGGCGGUGUUUGGCACCUCGAUGUCGGCUCAUCACAUCCUGGGGCUGAAGUAGGUCCCAAGGGUAUGGCUGUUCGCCAUUUAAAGUGGUACGCGAGCUGGGUUUAGAACGUCGUGAGACAGUUCGGUCCCUAUCUGCCGUGGGCGU
Molecule: ribosomal RNA, 1450 nt
Filed under: Haemophilus influenzae
Lineage: Bacteria; Pseudomonadati; Pseudomonadota; Gammaproteobacteria; Pasteurellales; Pasteurellaceae
Description: bacterial LSU rRNA
Rfam family: Bacterial large subunit ribosomal RNA
Source: RNAcentral